AAUUUUUAUUGCAGAAUCUGAAAAAGCAAUUCUUGAAACAUUCUUUUACGCAAUGCUGAAAUGCCUUUAAUCACUUCGCAGUCGAGACCAAAAUCUCAUAAGUGAGCCCAAAAUGUCAGUAAAUUUUUGAAUGACCAAAAUUUGUGCAAAUGUGUAUACUAUGGUAUUUAAGGUCGCUGAUUACGAUUCCAAAGUCAGAUUUUAGAAAUUCAAAAUGGCGGAGCCAAUGUAAACGAUUUUUCAAAAAAUGGCAAAAAUUAUUUAAAAAUACUUAAAAAUUGUUACUUGGGGGUUUUUGGGGUCGCUGAUUACGAACCUAAAGUUAGAUUUCAAAAAUUCAAAAUGGCCGAGCCAAUAUGGCGGACAAUUUUCUAAAAAUUUAGAAAUUAAUUAAUAUUACUUAAAAUCUUUUAUCGAGACUAACUAUAUUCGCCAUAUAAAGAUCGCUGUAUACAAAGCAAUUAACAGUCCUGUUAAUCGAAUAUUACAAUGACAGUACUGUGAAGGUAAGAUAUAAAUAACAGGACAAGCAGGAAUGGAAAUGGGAAAAAACAAUUGCCAACUAAUCGCGUAAAACAAAGAAAUGGCAUUAGCUGAAGGAAAAAGAAACGAAAUAAAUGGCAGAGUCACCACUUAAACAGCGCAAAGAAUAAAACAAUGGACAAUCGCUUUAAACAUAGAUGACAGUGACAGUACUUUGGAGGCAAGACCCAAAUAACAGGGCAAGCCGGAAUGGAGAUGAGAAAAAACAAUUGCCAACUAAUCGCGUAAAACAGAGCACUGAUGGUCUCUGAAGGAAAAGAAAACGAAAUAAAACGACAGUCAUCACUUAAAAAGUGCUGAUAAUAAAACAAUUGACAAACACGUUAAGCGAAUAUGACAUAAAUAAGAAUAAACAAAAUGAAUGACAAAACAUUGUGACUAACAAGUUUCAGACAAAUUUGGUCAAUUGUCAACAUAUUUGAUCACCAUAUUGGAUACGCCAUUUGUCAUUUUUCCGAUCUGACACCAAAUUUGGAAUCAGCGACCCCAAAAACCCCCGAGUAACGAGUUUCAAGCGAAUAUGGUCAAUUUUCAAAAUUUUUGGUCGCCAUAUUGGAUCGUUCGAUUUCCAAGGGAAAAAAAUUCACUUGUAGCCGUAAAGUAGACUUAUUGUCACCACAGAACGGGAAAUCGCACCAUGGAAAUAACUUUUUACAAUCUUUCGACUGUCAGUAGCGGGCAAAAAUUUGCAGAGGAAAAAUUUAAUUUUUUUUAACAAUCCUUGACACCUUUCUCUCUUCAAAAAAAAAAUAAAAAAAAAUUUAUUAAAAUCCUUUUCUCUCUUUCUGCCAUUCUUGGCACUAUUAUAAGUCAACUGAUUAGUCAAGAACACACGUUUGAGGUCCCCACGUUGGGCGCCAUUUAUAACGAAUAAUAAUUUUACAAAGCAAAAAUUAAAACUGUUAAAUGAAAUAAACGUAUUUAAAUAAUAAUUUGAACUCCCGGAACUUGUAUUAAGGACGCCAGGUGAAAAACCAAAUUUACUCAAAAGCUACGUUAGACAAUUUAAUUUUUUACCGUCCCAGGACUUUCGAAACAUUACGGUUUUCUUAAAAUUCUGCCGAACUGCUCAGCCAUUUUUGGAGAGUUGCUGGGAACCAAACGUGAGUCCUUACUUAGGCGAAUGACGAGGGAGAGAGAGAGAGACAGGGAGAGAAAAGGUCCAUAAAUGUCAAAUGAAAUCAAUUACACCAAUUUUUCUCUUUUAAUACCAAAUAACAUAAAUUUAUUAAUGUACCAAAAAUGUGUUUCUAUUUACAAUGCCUGACUUUGUCAGGAAAUAUAGGCCUUCGACUAGCUUGACUCGACAUAAUACAAAAAUAAAUAAAAUUAAAUUAAUAUGUUUAGGAAAUUUGAAAUAAGCGAAUAAGAAAUUAUAUCGUUGAGAGACGGUCAAGCCAGAAGGGCAAACAUGGUGGCGUAUGAAUUUCGCCUCACGUUGAUAUGAUAAUAAAAAAAGAGUAAAUUAAAUCAAAGAAAAUUACCGGCACACUGAGAAAUCUGUACUUUGUGCCGUGUAAUUCCGCACAAAAGAAUUUAUUACAAUUUUGACAAAGAUACCUUUAAUUUUGGACCUCUUAUCAAAUCAAGAUAAUCUAGGCGUCAGCGUGGCGACUACAGACCGCACCGGACACAAUGGCUUCCAAAAUUGAUAAGUUACAAUCUUUCUGCUCCGGCAGAAAAUCCAAUCUAGCCAAAAUAUAGGCUUCAAAAUAUAGGCAAAAUACUUCAAAAUUUAGUGCUUCUUGCACACAAAACCAAAGAUUGAAUCUUUAAUAAAGAAAAAUGGCCACUGCCAAAUUUCUACAAAAAUACAACUAGACUUUCGCAAGUCACGACCAAGAAGAACGAUUCUUCACGGGUUUCCAAUGUCCAUUCGAUUACCUUGCCCCUUAAAUCGGCGCAAAGGCGACAAAAUAGUUCACUACGCUGACCUCGUGACAUAUCCCCCUUAUUUGGAAACGUUAGCGGCCUUCUAAUUGGCCGAACGAAUGCUGAGCUUAAAUGGACGUCUUCUUCGGCAGUCGUGAGUAUCUCGGAGUGCGGGAUUCUCAUCCGCACCCCACCCUCGAUGUACGGUCCUUUGUCGCACUCACGUCUGCCAUCCCACGUAGGAAACUUUGUAGCUUGAUCUCCUGACCCCUCAGGAGUGUUCCUUUCUUUGUCCUUUGACUUCUCUCUCUCUCAGCCUUACUCAGGCCCGUAUCACCAAUUUUCAUGAAAAAUGAUAUAAAAAAAAUAACUUAACCAUGCAACUAUUUAAAUUAUUUAUGCCCCUUUAGGAUUUGACUGUAUCUCCACUAAUGGAAUAACAAAGUUAAAAUAAAAUACCUCAGAACGGAAAUUAUAUUUUAUUCUUAAUCUUUAAAUUAGGUGUUCUUGGUCGAUCGUUGCAAAAAUUAUAAAGGUUUCUUCGAAAGAGAGAAAAUCUGUUAACAAAACAUGCCGUCUAAAGACUGCAACGUUACAAUAUAUUCUUUUAAAAAUAAUGGAUUUCCGUACUUUGUGCGACAAUAGCGACCUCUAGAAAUUGUUCAAAAAAUCUGAAAAUUUAGGAAAUUUUUUUUUACCGUAUAAAAGAUAUUAAGGGGGUAUAAUUUUUUUUGAACUUCUCUAAUGAAACCUCGCUACAGGUUUGAUCCUCAAUUAUUUGCUAUGUUGAAGAAAAAGAGUGAUGCCCUGAAAGCAGAAGAAAAAAGAAGAGUAUUAGUUAUUGAUGAGAUGCAGAUUAGCAAGUCAGUGUCCUUCGAUAGUGAGAACCUCUCUGUCCUAGGCUUCAUUGAUUUAAUUGAACACACACCGGAAAAUCAAAAAAAGGAACAAGCUGAUCACUCUCUGGUAUUUUUGUUCCAACCUUUUAGAGGAAAAUGGAUACAAAAUGUGGCAACAUUCCUUAGCAAAGGUGCCGCAAAUGGACAAGUCCUAAGUCGUCUUGUUACUGAGUGUAUUAUUCUAUUGGAAAAUCACGGAUUUUAUGUGGAUGUUGUAACAACAGAUGGUGCUCAAUGGAACCGUGGAAUGUGGAAACAUUUCGGUUUAAAAGAUCUUGAAGCCAGUUGCAGACACGUUUGCACAGUUGACGAAAUUGACAAAGUUGACAAUUGUCGUUUGUAGAUUUGUUCAGAUUUCUCACAUUUUUUGAAAAAUUUUCGCAAUUUUAUGACGGCUAAAGACAAAAUAUUGACUCCUGAUGGAUGGUUCAAAAAACAAAACUUUAAAAGUAUUAUAAAGUGCAACGGUGGAGCAAAAUACUUAGGUCUUAAAAUUGCGCACAAAAUUACAGAGGAUCAUAUUGAUCCUAAGUUUUUUCAAAAAAUGCAUGUGCAUAAGGCACAAGAAGUAAGUUCAACUAUAAAAAUUAUCACUCGCGUUAACAAACUUAUCGAAGCAAUGACUUCCAGAUGUUCGAUAAAUGCACUGACACCAGAAAGUAACUCAUAUGAGGCAAUAACAGAAUUCGUGAACUAUUUAAGGAUUUGGAAAAAAAAUAAUUAUGAAGCAAACAAUUCUCUUUUUAUGUCUAAUAACACAUACGUUGGGUUUAAAGUAACCUUAAAAACUACUGUAGAAGUUAUGAAAUUUCUCAUUGAAAAUGUAAAUUUUCUUUUUUAAUUACCGCUCGACUUAAUCAGAAUGCUUUAGAGGGGAUGUUUGGAUUGAUCAGAGGUUGCUGCGGUUCUCAUGACAAGCCAGAUCCCCUUCUUUUUAUUCAGAUUUAUAGUCUGUUAAGUUUUUAUUCCUUAGUCAAGCCUCCAAAGGGAUCAAAUGUUAAUAGUAUGGAAAUUUUUGAAACUUUACUAUCUGCGAAGGAUUCAAAAAAUGAGAGUAAAGAAGAAUGGAAACAAGUCCUUGACCAGAUAAUAGAAAGGGGUGAAAACAACGAAAAAAAUUAUGGCGCGCAACAUGCUCACGAUUACAACGUUUUCGGUGUAAACGACAUCGUUUUGGCAUACUUUACUGGUUUCGUCGCAAGAAAAAUUGAAAAAUGGACAUCUUGUAGUCCAUGCUUUUUGUCUGCUACUAAACCAAGUGGAAACUUGCCUAGGGAUGAAAUGAUCCGUGGCUUGAGCAGAGGGUAUUUGAUUUAUCCUUCAAAUGAAUUGUUCGAUCUUUUAUUCGCAUUGGAAAGGGCUAUCCUCCAAACUGUAGAAGAGGAGCAGCUUAACUUUUAUACGUUCCAACAUAUUGUAUACAAUAUACUUGCUGAGCCUAUAACUUUUGUGGGUUGUUACGAACAAAAAGAAGCCCUAACUAAAAUAGUUAUAAAUUAUUACUGUAUCACACGAACGCAAAUAAUAUGCCAGAAGCAUAACGCUGUUUAUGAUAAUGCGUAAAAAGAAGAAAAGAAAUAUCGGAAAUUAUCGAAAUUAGUAGGUAGCUCAAGGAGUGAAACUGUAAAAAGCUAUACUAAUGAAAAAAGAACUAUCAAAACUGUAAAUGGACAAAAAAGGAAGUGUGAAUUGACUCAUGGUUUUAAUACUGCGUUAAAAAACGUUAGGCAAUAUUAGCGGCUGUGAAACCGAAGCAAGUAUUAGUGUUAAUUUCGAAAAACCAAAAAGCAAACUCAGUGUAAUUACUGAAAGGAACAAAAAAAGCAUUAAAAACAUUGGAGAAAGAGGAAUUUAUAAAAAACCAAAAACAACCAAAAAAUGUACAAGUUACAAAAAACGGAAUAAAAGUAUUAUCUAAUACAAUCUUACCGGAAAAUUUUUUAGCAAUUAAAAAGCAGAAACAAGAUAAAGUGAUUGUUGUUAAAGAAGCGAAGAGAGUAUUAUUACCGUAUUUUUUUACAAUAAAUAUGUUAAAAACGAAGUAUUUUUUAGAUAUAUAUUUAUAUGUAGAAUAUUUUUUCGUCUGUACUUUUAUGGAAUUUUAUAUUAAAAAAUGUUAUAAUAACAUUUUAAAUAAAUGUUAUUCAAUUUUUCAGUAAAAAAUAUUAUUUAAAUUUUUAAAAGUGUUUAUUUUGUAUCUUUAUUACUUUUACACAAUUAUUACAUUACAUUUUACUAUACUUAAUUCACACAACAAUAAAUAAAAAGUUAUUAGGGUGGCGAGUUAACCAAGAAAUCAGGAAUAACUGGGAAAUUACUGGGAUUUUAAAAAUUUACUGGAAAUACAG
This is an RNA transcript of Leptopilina boulardi, 5662 nucleotides long. RefSeq lists it as uncharacterized. The record is from RefSeq and is a predicted model, not a curated record. NCBI's taxonomy places the organism in Eukaryota, Metazoa, Arthropoda, Insecta, Hymenoptera, Figitidae. The transcript has 4 exons.